AGAUAUGAGGGUGAUGUGGCUGCGAUGUCUGUCACCCCAAUGAUUGCCAGGGUUGAUUCGGCUGAUCUGCCUGGCUAGGCAGGUGUCUUCUUCCUCCCUCACUGCCCCAUGUGCUUCCCUCCUGAAACUUUGUCCUUGGUCGAAGAGGGCACCUUCCCCGAAUAAAGAAGGACCAGUCUUUGGUCAAGCAUAGAA
This 195-nucleotide small nuclear RNA is filed under the name Cricetulus griseus (Chinese hamster). RNAcentral describes it as "7SK RNA". It matches the Rfam family "7SK RNA", at positions 1 to 195 of the family's 331-position model. From Rfam's summary of the family: 7SK was discovered as an abundant small nuclear RNA in the mid-70s but a possible function has only recently been suggested. Two independent studies have found that 7SK RNA binds the CDK9/cyclin T complex (known as elongation factor P-TEFb). P-TEFb activates transcription by phosphorylating the C-terminal domain of RNA polymerase II. The record is from Rfam by way of RNAcentral. Lineage: Eukaryota; Metazoa; Chordata; Mammalia; Rodentia; Cricetidae.